Molecule: microRNA precursor, 78 nt
Filed under: Bombyx mori (domestic silkworm)
Lineage: Eukaryota; Metazoa; Arthropoda; Insecta; Lepidoptera; Bombycidae
Description: mir-2807 microRNA precursor family
Rfam family: mir-2807 microRNA precursor family
Source: Rfam by way of RNAcentral
UUAACGCAAAUUCGUAUGGAGUUGGAACGUUUGUUUGCCGCUAGGGGCGCUGUUGCAAAUGCAAACAAAUUUGAGUUA